This is a long non-coding RNA of Marmota flaviventris (yellow-bellied marmot), 720 nucleotides long. RefSeq lists it as uncharacterized. Lineage: Eukaryota; Metazoa; Chordata; Mammalia; Rodentia; Sciuridae. The record is from RefSeq and is a predicted model, not a curated record.
UGGUAACUGUCCAGUCCCCAAGGGGCUUGUUCUGUCCAGCUGUUUACAUUGUGGGAACAGAUGUAAUCAAGUUCUUCCUGGGCUGCUAUGUGUCCCCCUCAGGCCUCUCCCUCAUUCCGACUGCAGCCCCUGUCACAUGUCCUGGGCACACCCAGGAUGACCCACACAGACACAUGAGCUGCGUGCUCUUGGCCCGGCAGGGUGAACAGCAGGGGUGGUGCCAUUUCCUGAGGAGCAGCUUGGCUGGACUGGAGGUUGGGGACAGUCGGAGGGUAGAGGAGCCGAUGCAGCUUCUCCAAGCUAGGCGGAGAUCCAAAGGAAACACGGCUGGAGACAGGAGAAGCAAGCCAGGUGACCCAGCUGACAUCCUGGGCAGAAACCCAGCUUGGCAUCCUAUGGCCACUGUCACCUGUGCUUACGUACUUGGACCAGAACAAGGGCUGGUGAACCAGGGCUGAGCAGGGACUCCAGCCAGCAGCCUGCUGUCUGAACACUCUGGAGUCGGCUUCCGAGACGCAGUGGUGGACUCAACAAAGCCCGAAAUACGAACCAUCUGGUGCUUUACCGGAAAGCUUUGAAGAAGCAGGACUGGAACCACGUCUGUCUGGACCAAGCACUUAGUGCUUUCCUGCCUGGGUCUCCGUGAUAGAUCAAGCACCUCCAAAAUACAAAUUCCUAUCCACGACAAGGUCUUGCUAUAUUCUUUAGGGCCUCGAUAAG